Molecule: ribosomal RNA, 468 nt
Filed under: uncultured bacterium
Lineage: Bacteria
Description: partial 16S ribosomal RNA
Rfam family: Bacterial small subunit ribosomal RNA
Source: RNAcentral
GACGAACGCUGGCGGCGUGCUUAACACAUGCAAGUCGAACGGAAAGGCCCUGCUUUUGUGGGGUGCUCGAGUGGCGAACGGGUGAGUAACACGUGAGUAACCUGCCCUUGACUUUGGGAUAACUUCAGGAAACUGGGGCUAAUACCGGAUAGGAGCUCCUGCUGCAUGGUGGGGGUUGGAAAGUUUCGGCGGUUGGGGAUGGACUCGCGGCUUAUCAGCUUGUUGGUGGGGUAGUGGCUUACCAAGGCUUUGACGGGUAGCCGGCCUGGGAGGGUGAACGGCCACAAUGGGACUGAGGUACGGCCCAGACUCCUACGGGAGGCAGCAGUGGGGAAUAUUGCACAAUGGGCGGAAGCCUGAUGCAGCAACGCCGCGUGCGGGAUGACGGCCUUCGGGUUGUAAACCGCUUUCGCCUGUGACGAAGCGUGAGUGACGGUAAUGGGUAAAGAAGCACCGGCUAACUACGUG